UACAGAGGUCUCAAGCGUUGUUCGGAUUCAUUGGGCGUAAAGGGUGCGUAGGUGGCGCCGUAAGUCAGGUGUGAAAUUUCGAGGCUUAACCUCGAAACUGCAUUUGAUACUGCGGUGCUUGAGGACUGGAGAGGAGACUGGAAUUCACGGUGUAGCAGUGAAAUGCGUAGAUAUCGUGAGGAAGACCAGUGGCGAAGGCGGGUCUCUGGACAGUUCCUGACACUGAGGCACGAAGGCCAGGGGAGCAAACGGG
Molecule: ribosomal RNA, 253 nt
Filed under: uncultured bacterium
Lineage: Bacteria
Description: partial 16S ribosomal RNA
Rfam family: Bacterial small subunit ribosomal RNA
Source: RNAcentral